Molecule: ribosomal RNA, 507 nt
Filed under: uncultured bacterium
Lineage: Bacteria
Description: partial 16S ribosomal RNA
Source: RNAcentral
GGAGUUAGCCGGUGCUUCUUCUGUGAGUGAUGUCCUUCCUGCCGGCUAUUAACCCGCNGGCCUUCUUCCUCACUGAAAGUGCUUUACAACCCGAAGGCCUUCUUCACACACGCGGCAUGGCUGGAUCAGGGUUGCCCCCAUUGUCCAAUAUUCCCCACUGCUGCCUCCCGUAGGAGUCUGGGCCGUGUCUCAGUCCCAGUGUGGCUGAUCAUCCUCUCAGACCAGCUACGGAUCGUCGCCUUGGUGAGCCGUUACCUCACCAACCAGCUAAUCCGACAUAGGCUCAUCCGAUAGCGCGAGGCCCGAAGGUCCCCCGCUUUCCCCCGUAGGGCGUAUGCGGUAUUAGCCUGGGUUUCCCCAGGUUAUCCCCCACUACCGGGCAGAUUCCUAUGCAUUACUCACCCGUCCGCCGCUCGCCACCAGGGAGCAAGCUCCCCGUGCUGCCGCUCGACUUGCAUGUGUUAGGCCUGCCGCCAGCGUUCAAUCUGAGCCAGGAUCAAACUCUGA